ACGUAGGGUGCGAGCGUUAAUCGGAAUUACUGGGCGUAAAGCGUGCGCAGGCGGUUCGUUAAGUCUGAUGUGAAAGCCCCGGGCUCAACCUGGGAAUGGCAUUGGAAACUGGCGAGCUGGAGUGCGGCAGAGGGGGGUGGAAUUCCGCGUGUAGCAGUGAAAUGCGUAGAGAUGCGGAGGAACACCGAUGGCGAAGGCAGCCCCCUGGGCCGACACUGACGCUCAGGCACGAAAGCGUGGGGAGCAAACAGGAUUAGAUACCCUGGUAGUCCACGCCCUAAACGAUGUCGACUGGGUGUUGGGAGAGAGAUCUCUUGGUACCGUAGCUAACGCGUGAAGUCGACCGCCUGGGGAGUACGGCCGCAAGGUUA
RNAcentral lists this ribosomal RNA (371 nucleotides) under uncultured bacterium. Its description in RNAcentral is "bacterial SSU rRNA". It matches the Rfam family "Bacterial small subunit ribosomal RNA", at positions 525 to 896 of the family's 1533-position model. The record is from RNAcentral.